This is a non-coding RNA of Durio zibethinus, 3870 nucleotides long. The record is from RefSeq and is a predicted model, not a curated record. Lineage: Eukaryota; Viridiplantae; Streptophyta; Magnoliopsida; Malvales; Malvaceae.
AGACAAAAAGUCAUCGUAGGGCUUUGCUUACUUUAGUUUGAGAUUGAAGCCUUUUCUGUUUCCCGUUCUCAGAAACUCCAUUUACCAAAAGCCAACUUCAUCUCUUCAUCUCUAUUUCUUCUGCAGAUCUCACUAAAAUUCAUGAAAGUCACGGGUAUGCACCAAAUCGGAGAUCAGAUGUCCUUUGCUUUAAUCUUCGCCAGGCCGCUUGGAUAUGUUUGCAAUCGGUGCAGAUCAAUCGAAACAAUUAAAUCAUCAAAAACAGAGCUUGGCAGAGUCAGAUCUGCAAUAUAAGAGAACUUUGGAUUGGUUACAACAAUCAAAGAGUCUCCUCUGUUUUUGUUAAUUUUUCUAUCAUUCCUGUGGAUACAAGUUGUGUCAUAAUUAUAAUCAUGAUGUAGGUUUGGUGCUUGGUUGUGUCUCUUUAUCCUCUUAUUUUAGUUUGAGGGUAGAGUUUUAAUUAUAUUAACAAAAGUUGUAAUACAAUAUCAUGCAAUACAGGUUGAAACUGGACACACAGUUAUUGUUCAUGCUGCAGUGGGAUUGACGAGAUACAGUGAAAGAUGCCUUGUCAUGUUUGAUGAACUUAUCUAAAUAAUUAAAAAUGUCAGGGUUAGGAAAGGCUAACCAGUCCAAGAAUUCUUUGCAGCUGAAUGAUUGUAGAAGAUCGUCAGAGGUUAGAUACUUUUCCUAUUCUUUGCCAAUGUUAAAUAAUUGAGUUCUUACUCUUUUACUUUGUGAUUAGCUUGAGUAAUUUUGACCUGGCAAUAUUUUGAUCACUUUGGAUCUGGAGCUCAGGUGAAUAUGAAAGGCCUGCAUCUGGUCUCCUCUCCAUCCAUGAAUUCCUUUUAAGGUUAAUGGAUGGAAGACCCAGAAAGGGCCUUAACCUGAGAUUACUUUUUCUGCCAAGCCUUUUAGAACUGUUUCUGGAUCCAAUGUGCAACAUCAAUUUCACAACAGGACUGUUGCAAAUAAAAUAACUAAAUUGAAGUGUCCAACAACUCUUCCCGUUAUAGCUCCAUUACUUGCAACGAUUCCUCUGCUGUUAUGUCAAAAGGAUCUAAUGCUGCUAAUCCAUCUGCUAUGUUCAUCUAUUAUGCCGAAUAAGACAAGGCUACAAAGGGAAAUUCAUGAAAGGAGGCAAGAAGGAAGGGAAAACAUAAAAAGAAGCAUUUGUGUGAUGUUGGCUCCAAAGAGUCAGAAGUUUGUAAGAGUAUACCCAUGGAAGUUAAGCAUCUGAAAUCUGUGGUGACAAUGACUUGAACUCUGGAUCACAUGCAAUGUUACCAGAAGUUUCGCCAUUCGAUAGUUUGCUUAAUAUAAUUGAUUUUGCAGGCAGCAGCAAUGGUUCAGAAGUUCCCUAGGGAGCAUCAUACAGAUAACUCUGAAAUUGUUAGCGAAGACCAAUGACUUUCUAUAGGUGGAGAGGAGACAUCCUUCACAUAUGGGUUUUCUUAUAGAUUUACAUGAGAAGGAUUUCUAUGAUGUGCGUGAUACCUAGUGUUGGACUCAGUUUCUGUUGGUUCAAACAGUGAAGACGGUAUUGGUGCUGGUCAUAUUGUUAAUCCAUUUAAUGACAACAGCAAUGAAACCUGUCAAUCAGAUUUACCAGGUUCCAAUACCAAGAAGGGGUCCCAUUGUCAAAACUCGUUAUGUAUAUUUCAAUACCAAGAAGGGUCCUAUUAUCAAACCUUAUUAUGUAGCAUUUCAGAAACCCGUGAUUUUAGUGAGGGAACCCAGCAUGUUCUGGCUUGUAGCACAGCUUUGAUGGAUGAAUGGUUGCAUCAGGCAAGAGUGGUAAGCAGUGUAAAUCUAUUCAUGGAAGUUCAAGUACUUGCAAACUUGGAAGUAUAGAGAACUUGCAUGGUAGAACGCAUCAGGCAAGAGGGGUAAGCAGUGUAAAUCUAUUCAUGGGAGUUCAAAUACUUGCAAACUUGGAAGUAUAGGGAACUUGCAUAGUAGAAUGGGAACAGAGAACAGUCAUUCUGUUUGUCAAAGGGUUCAGAGAAUGCUGUAGAGUAAUGCAACACUGGGUUGAAUAAAACAAAUCCCAUUUGCUCACAGUUUGAUGUUACUUUAAAAGAUGAUCCAUUGCUGAAAAGAAAUUCUAAAGCUGCCAAUGUAAACCUUACCUAUUACUGAUGACAAGAGGAAGUUAAAAAAUAAGGUUCCUAGGAAUUUGAAAAGAAAAGUUAGUGCAGCUUCAAAACAAGAAAAAAACAGACAUUCCAGGAAGGAGUCUCAUCCCAACAAGGUAAACCUAAAUGCUUAUGAAAAGACUAGCAUGCCAAAAAGUGAAAUAUUAGAUGUUUAAACUUUUCAGGAUGACCAUGGAGUAAUUUAAAAUCUUUCAAGGUCUUAUUCUCAGCUUGGUUGUGAGGGUUCUGACCAUGAAAUCUAAAUCAGUUAAUGACUUUGAAGUUGGUCCAAGCAGCAUGGAACCAUGUGAAAAUGUCUGUGAUACUGCUUGUGGUUUUAAUAAUCUAAGUAUAGAGAUUCAAGACAGCUUACUGCAAAUGUGUCCCUUUGGACCAGUCAAAUUUGCUUAGGUGAGCACUCCAGUUUUUUGAGGUUUGUGAUACUGAUUCCACUUCAACAAACUCUACUAAUGUCAUUCAUCUUUCAAUAUUUUUAGAUUUUCAGUUCUUGUUCCAAAACCAAGCAUGACUGAACCAAUUAGAGGUUUGAAUUUGAUAUUAAAACAUCAAAGGUGCCUAAGAGAGAUCUAGAUACCUAUAUGGUUCUUCUAAUUUUGUCUUUCGUGUCUCCUUCCCCUUGGAGCAGCAGCUCCGGCAGCGGGAGGAGGUGGAUUUCUGGUGUUGGGAGGAAGAGGAUUUCCAGCAUCAUGAGCUGGAUUUUGCUGUUAAGAUGAGAGAUUCAGCUAAAGCUUUCAAAUCAAACCUAAGAACUGAAAUCAAAUGCUAAAAAAAUACAUAAGAGGAGAGAUUUGGUUAAAGCUUUCGAAUUCAGUUAAAGCUAGAAGAAAAUAACCGUUCUUAGGUAUAACAAAGUCGAAGUUCAAGCUAAAGAGAUGUAUUUCUUGCACUUCGACUUUGCUAUACCUAAGGACGAUUAUUUUCUUUUAGCUUUAACCGAAUUCGAAAGCUUUAACUGGAUCUUUCUUUUGAUGUAUUUCUUUUAGCAUUUGAUUUGGGUUCUUUAUAAUUACCUUUAUUUUCUUAAAGUUGUUUCAUGUUUUAAAGCUCAUACGUGAAUAUCUGUGGUUAUUUGUUGCUAUUUGUGGUUGACGGAUAGGCUUGUUGACUGGCGUGAAUAACCUAUACAGAACAUCACAAUGGUCUUAAGCACCAUAAACAUGAAGCCAACUGAAGAAGAUAAUUGUAUUUGUAAAGAUCAAUAGCUAUUAUGAUGAAAGGAUGCUUCAUAGGUUGCCACAUGUUUAAUGUCAGAGCGUUGCUUCGACAAUUGGAGAUUGUUGCACCUGUGUCUGAUAAAAUAUGUAAACUAUAUGGUUUAUAGUUUGGAAAAUAAAAAUAUCCUUCAACAAAGGUAUAAUGCCUUUCUUUAGGCUUGUUUGAAAAUUGAACAAUUUCAGGCUUUAUUUUGAAAUUGUUAAUAAAAUAAAAACUCUUAAUUUCAUCAACUUGAGAUUUGCGAGAAGAAGAAGAGAUAUUAGAGUUUAAAACAGAAUUUACUUAUUGAAAAUAAGUUUGUUGUGAUUGGUUAUCACUUGUGUCUCCUGUAAAAAUAGGAAUUUGAUUACUUGUACUGUUUGUACGUGAAAAUCUUGUACUUCUAAUGCCGGAGGGAGUUUGAAAUCCUGCAAAAUAAUUUCUUUGUAGAGUAUAAAAAAUUGAUUACUAGUUAUAAUAUGUGUCUUCAUUGUCUUGUUGUUAAAAAACAUUUAAA